This is an RNA transcript of Solenopsis invicta (red fire ant), 4884 nucleotides long. RefSeq lists it as uncharacterized. The transcript has 4 exons. The record is from RefSeq and is a predicted model, not a curated record. Lineage: Eukaryota; Metazoa; Arthropoda; Insecta; Hymenoptera; Formicidae.
UUGUGUUCGUAUCUACUGUUUGUUUGUCCCUACAAUUCGAUCCCUACAUUUGCGCCUCGUCCUCAUUGUAUUCGCGUAAAUUAUAGUCGGUAUAGUGCGACAGAUCAGUCACGCGAAAACUGUUGAUAGGAAAAAUUUGAAGUUCUUGUGCCCGCGCUCGACGCUCCCUUCGUCAGGUGUGCCAAUAGUCGCGAGCGACAUGCUUUUCGAGGUUUGACCGGCCAAUCAAAGUUGGUCUUGCUUUGAUCGUUUCGAUAUUUCGAGAAUCGCAAUAUUGUUCUCGAUGUAUAUUUUCGCAAUCACACAGUCAGUGACGGAUCACCGCGUAUUGUAUUCAAAUUGCUGAAUCCCGUUACUGGAUUCAUUCCCGGAUGCUGAGAAUUUAAGAGACAAAUAUUAUUUCUAUACAACAAAAUAGCCUGUAUCGCUGACACGGUGAUCAUUACGUUUUAUCCGGUAUUCACGUACGAGCGAGCAGGAAAAGAGACGAGUGGACGAAAGGAUGGAGUGAGGAGGAGGGGCGAGCGAAACGAGAUUACGACCGGGCACACAAGGCACUAGCUACUAUGAGGUCAUCUUUGCAACUGCGCCGCACGGACUUCGUGUUUCCACAAAGUACGAGACACCGUGAGUACAUUUAUAACGCUGAUGGGGCUCGUAAUGGACUUAUAACAGCGUUUAUGCGGCCGUCUCUAAGCGCAGUGUACAGUUUAAAUCAUCAGGAUCUGAGAGAAGGUGACUGAGUAACUCCGCUCGUUGCGCAUCGGAUUGAAUACUGCUGGCAAAAUGUGCAACUAACAUGUCAGAGGAAUUUCUGCUGAUAUCUGCAGGUACACGUUUACUCUCAGAAAGAUAAUACCAUCGCUCGUUUAAUUCUUCAAUCGGCGAUUUAUCGAGAUCUAUAUUCUCAGGAUCUGUACCCGCGACCUGUAAAUCGACAUAGACAAGUUCAGACGCAGCACGAGGAAAGUAAGUAGCUCUGUUCGCUUCUGUUACCGCACCUUUUCGAUUCGCAGCGUGAACUCUUCGAUUUCCCGAGGCAUUCCAUUUGCCUCGAAACUGGUUCGUGUGCCUAGUAAUUCUCGUUCGCCCCGCGAAUAGCGCGCCGAUAAAUCGCCUAAAAGAAGCCAAUUUAUUCGCGCUUAUAAUCGCACUUGCGAAUACUUCGCGAAACGGUUUGUGAAAGAGACAAUCGAAUGCGCCCGUCGGCGAUAUCCAUUUGACCGACGACGUAGGCAGAACGAAACGCUAGCUGCUACGCUGCAAAUACACUAACAAUAAAACAAUAGAGAAGCAAAUCGAGCAUUAUUGGUUUCUCUGCGUUCUCCAUCUUCUUCUGUGAUAAUGGAUACGUAAACAGCUUGCUAUUUGACUUCUUUCUUUAUUGACUUUAUGUAAAUGUUACGGAUACAUAAAGUGACCAGGUAAUCCGUAUGACAAUUCCGAAAAAUGUUAAAUGUAAAAUUACAAUCUCUAGUUUUCCAAAUCAACAAUUUUGACAAUUACACGAUGACGGCGAAUUGAUUUUUUUUAUUUUGAAUUUAUCUUUCUCCUUUUUUUAAAAAAAGACUUUUGUCAUUUUUGUGAAAAAAUAAAUUACCCGAUGGUGUGAUGCCUAAUAUCUUUCAAUAACUAUUUUUCAGGUAAAGAUAUUCGUCAAUGAAAAGUCCUAAAAGUUCCUUUUCUUCGCUGAAAUCUCUCUAGUUACGUAUUUAAUUUAACGGAUAGCUAUUCACACUAACUUUAGACACAAAAUGUAUUAAAAUUUCAAUAGAAAUUAUGAUAUUCUCUGGAAGAUGACUUAUGGAUACAGUUAUCUAAAUAUGAAGAAAUUGGGCAUUAAUCAAACUGCACGUAUCGCAAGACAGCAACAGCAUUUUUUCCUUCAUUGAAAAAUAUUUUUACCUUUUAUUUAAUUUCAUUAAUAAAGCGAUAUUUUUAGCAGACGAAAAUAAUGUUACAUGAGACAGGUCUUUUCGUCUAUUCCCUGAUAUCGAUCUAGCGAUACUUAACGAAGCCAAUACGGAAGGUCCUGGUAGGUGUAAAUUAUAAAUGAAUCGAGUAAAAUAUGAAGGGUGGCUUAAUGAGCACUGUUACGGAUUGAUUAGAACCAAGACCGAGGCAGCGGCUGUUGGAAAUAAAUUUCUUACUGAACGUUAAUUUACGUUGCGGAGGGUGCAAAGAGGCAAAGCAGAAGCCUACAUGUUUUUUCGAGAGGAAGAAAUUGCUUAUUCCGAGACGCUGGUGAAAAAUGGAAGAAAAAGAUUUUGAGAGUGCGGUAAACGAAUCGAGAUGGGACCGAAAUAAAAUAGGAAGCGAGAAAGAGAGAAAGAGAGAGAGAGAGAGAGCGACGUGUAAUAAGAGAUAGGAAAAACGCCCGCGUGAGAGAAAUCGAAUAUCGAAAUUGAGAAUGAUUCGCGAUGGACAUCGCGAGAAGUUCUACAAUUGUGAGAAAACGUGCAAAUGAAAAAAAAAAAAGAAAAUGGGAGACACAAAAAAUUUUUCCGCGUCAGCAGAUGCGACUAACGUGAAAGACGUAAAGUGGAAAGUAAAUGAAGAGGUGUUGAAGGCGGGGGAUAAGGAAAUCCAAGGCAAGGCCGUAUCUCCAGCUGCCAAUAAAGCCGUUUAAUCAGCAGCGGUUACUUUACUGAAUAUAUCGAAAGUCGUAAUGCAGCUGUGCGUUAGAUGUAAUCCUUACGACUGCUAAUUUCAAGUCGGCGCACGCUCAGGGCGGGGAAAAGGGAGAGAAAAGGGAAAUGAGAACACGGUAUACGAUAUUGUGCGGUACGAGCCAAAACGAAGCAGCCCGAGCACCCAAGUUUCCUCGGCCCGAGGGUCGUGCGAGCGAGGAAAGUUUUAACGGAAUAACAGAGAGAAAAUCCAGGGAGAGUCGCGCCGAGCAAAGGUAGAAAUGCGCGAGAGUGCGAGAGAUGCGCUUUUUUUUAGAGAGCGAUCAGAUGGAUGGAUGGAUGGAUGGAUGGCUGGAUGGAUGGAUGGAUGGAUGGAUGGAUGGAUGGAUGGACGGAUCGAUUGACCACACGAUACGAUGUAGUUUACUGUGUACAAAAGAGCGAAGCGUAGAAAACAAGAGAAAACGGUGAAACGGCAAAAAUAUAGAAAUAAUCAAAAAGUAUUUUAAUUAUUUAUUCUUAGAGGCGCGUUCUGUAUUUUCUUUCAAUGUAGCAAUUUUUUAAAUUUAUAUAUAUUUAAUUAGUUUAAUGUGUAGUAAAGUUUAAAGUUUAUACAAAGAUAUUUUUAAGAUAAUUGCAAAUAGACUUACAAAUCUAAUUAUUUAAUGAAACAAUGUUUUUUUGUUAGAUAAAUUAAAUGUCCCAGUGAUCGAUCAUGUCUCCACUCGAACACUUACACAGACGCUUAUUAUUAAUUCUAAAUGUGUUUUUCAUAAUAUUAAAAUUUAAUUGCAAUUAAAAACUUAAAGAUAAUUGUAACAUUAUUAUUUUAAAUAUUAUAAAAACAUUAAAAAAAAGAAUAAAUUUAUUAGACAACUAUAUUUAUAUUUUUAUGAUGUUAUUAAAACUUUUUAAGAAGCAUAUUAUGUUUUUUUGUAUUAAGAUAAUGUUUUUAAUAUUUAUUGUACGGUACUCCAAGUAUGUACUACAACACUAAUAUAGACUUGAGAAAGGUUAGAUCUGAUGGGAGUGCUGGGUCUGAUAAUGAUUACGACUAACAGUUAGCGAACAGUCGAACUUGGACUACGCUCUUGGUAGGAAAGUGGCGUACAACUUUGUACCCGAGGUAGUCGACGCUACUAAAAAACGCUGCGGAGUAACCAUAAAAGUGAUAUCAACGCUCUCGUGGAACAGAAUCUGGAGUCUCAAGUCUAGUUCUUUGCUAGAACUCAUCACAGCGAAGGAUAUCAAGUUGUUGUCAGCUCUUAAAAAAAAAAGAAUUAAUAAAAGUGUUUCACUAAACUAAUUACUAUAUCAGUUUAUUGAAUCACUUAACAAUUUUUUUUCUCAAAGGUAAGAAUACCGGUGGGGAUCUUUCCUUACACUUCCACCUGGAUAAACAGUGGACACGAAGCGGGAUAUGAAUUUCCUAUUAGGGAAAGGGAUAUGACAGUAUCCCCCAAAUAUUCUGGAAAAGUACUUUCUGAUCCUAUAUCUCUUCCAUCGUAGCCAGUUCGUCUGGAAAAAAUGUCCAACGAAAUUAUUGGGAUUUGAAUCCGGGACUCUCAGCAUACAAAUUUGAUAUUGUAGAGGGAAAGCUAUAGAAUUAUUGACUCGCAUUAAGAGCAAGUAUUUAGGACAAGUCUUUACGACAUUAAAGAAAGCAUUGUCCGGAUAUUGAUUCAUUCAAAUGCUUUACAAGUUCCUAUUAUUUUCGUAAUAAUUAAACAAUUUUUCAAAUGUUAAUAAUAACGCUUUAUAUUUUAUACUUUAAUUAAUUGUAUAAUUGGAUCAUUUUAUAUCCUUACAAAAAUUAUUAUUAUAAAUUUGUUUAUAAAUGAUAGCUAUUAUUAACAAAAAUUCAACAAUUUUGGCUUUACAUCGUUACAUGUCCAGUUACUGGAAUACUUAUAGUUUAUUUUAUGCCAUGGUACACAAAUUUGUUAGUUAUACAGAUCGCAUAAUAAGAAUAUAAUAUCAAUAUCACAACACAUGAAGGGUGAGCCGACAGCCAAGCAGCUGAUAUGAUGUCCUAGACAUUAUUUUAUAUAAUUAAUAUAAUUAUCCAUUUUUAAAUAUAUACAUUAGUAAGAGAUUAAUAAGCAGAAAUGUAUUAUACAGUUAUUCUGAGCUGCUGCACACCGGCACGUUAUGUUCUAAAUGCUGUGAACUAUCAAAAAGUGAUUAGCAAGAUGUAGCAAGGAAUACUAUUGUUAAUAAUUUAAGUAAUAAUAAACAUGUAUAAUAGCACAAA